UCGGGAGAAGGAGGGCCUCGUUAGGGUGAAGGACUUCGCGUCCGGAGCUCGAGGAGGUCGCAGCGAAUUGAGGGAAGCGACUGUUUACUAAAAACACAGCAGCGUGCUAAGUCGUAAGACGACGUAUACGCUGUGACGCCUGCCCGGUGCCGGAAGGUUACGGGGAAGGGUUAGUCCUUCGGGACGAAGCUCUGAACCUAAGCCCCGGUAAACGGCGGCCGUAACUAUAACGGUUAAGUACCUACUUGGCUGUUAAUAAACCUGGCUAUAUGCUGGAACAUCCGAGUAUCCGGUGGUACUAAUCGGUGUUUGCAUCUCAAAUGACGGAUGCGACGAACCGGUAGUGAAAAUCCAUCCGGUGCGGACAAUCAGCAGGAAACCUGCAAAGGGAUCCUCAGAGACUACACGCCAGGCCCGCCAGCGAUUUGCGGCUGACGGUGAAGAUAUAGUCCGACCCUCAUGGCGACAUGAGGAGCUGGGCAGAAAUGUCCCAGCCUCGCUAGAGCCGCGCUAAUUAGAAUGGUUUCAGCGAAGUAACAAAGUGCCUAAGGUAGGAAAUACCUCUUUGCAGGAAAGAGGUGCUGCCCCCCGAGCCGGUAACGGUUCGGUGCGCAGUCGGCUAUAUGCUGGAAAACCCGAGUAUUCUCCACUACUCGUCGUUGAUGGCAGUGAUACAGCAUCGCUGUAUGACUUAAGCGUGAACGGCAGUGACAAUGUGCGAGAUGCGGAAAAUCAGCAGGAAAGACUCCUGUACCAAGGAUGGAUCGUCGGCUUCGUAGAUGGCGAGGGUUGCUUCAGUUGCCCAAUCUUUCGUAAUCGAGGCAUGACGAUGCGCUGGCAAGUCCAGCCAACCUUUGUGGUUGUGCAGGGCGCCAGCAGCCGUGAGGUCCUGGAAGACCUGAGCCGCUUUUUCGGAUGCGGCAAGGUGUACGUGAACCGCCGACAAGACAAUCACCGGGAGGAUCUGUACCGGUACCGUGUCGGCAGACUUGCGGAUUUGCGGGAGACAAUUAUCCCGUACUUUCAGGAAUAUCCUCUGCGGACAUCGAAGCGGGAAAACUUCGAAAAGUUCGUACGGAUCAUUGAGCUAAUGGAUCAAGGUCGACACUUGACGGGGCCAGGCCUCAUCGAGAUAGCCGAGAUCGUAGAGACGAUGAACCAGCGGAAACCAUCUGAGGUCGUGAGAAUCCUCAGAGACCAUACGCCGACCAUCUCACCGGCCCGUGGUGAGAUGAAGAUAUGGUCCGGCCCCUGUGGCGACACAGGGAGGCCGGCGGAAACGUCCGGCCCGCCCAUUGAACAAGUGCAGACUCAAUGGGUCUUCAAGUAACAGACCAAGCGAAAUUCCUUGUCGGGUAAGUUCCGACCUGCACGAAUGGCGUAACGAUUUCCCUACUGUCUCAACCACAGACCCGGCGAAAUUGAAGUACGAGUAAAGAUGCUCGUUAGCUGCACCAGGACGGAAAGACCCCGUGGACCUUUACUGCAGCUUGAUGUUGAGCUUUGGUACGGAUUGUGUAGGAUAGGUGGGAGUCUGGGAAGCUCCGGCGUUAGCCGGGGUGGAGACAACGUUGAAAUACCACCCUGUUCGUACUGGGGCUCUAACCUCGGCCCGUAAUCCGGGCCAGGGACCGCGUCAGGUGGGCAGUUUGACUGGGGCGGUCGCCUCCUAAAACGUAACGGAGGCGCCCAAAGGUUCCCUCAGGCUGGUUGGCAAUCAGCCGUCGAGUGCAAUGGCAAAAGGGAGCUUGACUGCGAGACUAACAGGUCGAGCAGGUGCGAAAGCAGGGCAUAGUGAUCCGGCGGUUGCUUGUGGAAGCGCCGUCGCUCAACGGAUAAAAGGUACCCCGGGGAUAACAGGCUCAUCUUCCCCAAGAGUCCAUAUCGACGGGAAGGUUUGGCACCUCGAUGUCGGCUCGUCGCAUCCUGGGGCUGAAGCCGGUCCCAAGGGUUGGGCUGUUCGCCCAUUAAAGCGGUACGCGAGCUGGGUUUAGAACGUCGUGAGACAGUGGACAUACGCGCUGUCUAUAAACUUGGCUAUAUGCUGGAAACACCGAUUGAAUCCUGCGCUACUCGUCAGUGCUUGCUUCGUGACUGUUACAUCCCAACGAUACGUUGAAGGUCAUGGAGCCAGCUGGCAGUGACAAAGCGACAGGUGCGGUCAAUCAGCAGGAAAGACUGGAUGCAUACAUCGCAGGGUUCGUAGACGGAGAAGGCAGCUUUCACGUUGCGAUUCAGCGGAACCCGAGCACAAGAGUUGGCCUC
RNAcentral lists this ribosomal RNA (2265 nucleotides) under soil metagenome. RNAcentral's name for it is "bacterial LSU rRNA". It matches the Rfam family "Bacterial large subunit ribosomal RNA", at positions 1736 to 2925 of the family's 2925-position model. The record is from RNAcentral.